This 73-nucleotide small nucleolar RNA is filed under the name Drosophila willistoni. Its description in RNAcentral is "snoRNA:GK26678". Lineage: Eukaryota; Metazoa; Arthropoda; Insecta; Diptera; Drosophilidae. The record is from RNAcentral.
UGAUGAUAUAGCAAUUACCUUGGGACACCUAUGAAAAGUUUUUGAUUAGUGUAUAAUUUUAGUAACUGAUGAA